This 229-nucleotide long non-coding RNA is filed under the name Ananas comosus (pineapple). RNAcentral describes it as "long non-coding RNA (ACOM_LNC012352)". Lineage: Eukaryota; Viridiplantae; Streptophyta; Magnoliopsida; Poales; Bromeliaceae. The record is from RNAcentral.
GAGUUGAGAGAGAGGUUUUAUUGGUUUCUUCUCCUCUCUCUCUUUCUAGACCUGAUCGUGAGCAAGGAGGAGCCGGGUGGAGUUCGGGUGUUGUCGACGUCGCACCGCGGUGCUGUUCGGGCAUGUAUUCGUCGUCGUGGUGCUGAGAGGAGGCUUGAUGAGCGUGGAUUUUCGCUGUCGUCGACGUUGUGCCGUUUCUAGAUGGGUUUUCGAGGUGAGUGAUCUAUCG